This 516-nucleotide ribosomal RNA is filed under the name uncultured bacterium. Its description in RNAcentral is "partial 16S ribosomal RNA". It matches the Rfam family "Bacterial small subunit ribosomal RNA", at positions 28 to 523 of the family's 1533-position model. The record is from RNAcentral.
GAUGAACGCUGGCGGCGUGCCUAAUACAUGCAAGUCGAACGCAUUGAGAGAAGUGCUUGCACUUUUCAAUUUGAGUGGCGAACGGGUGAGUAACACGUGGGCAACCUACCUGAUAGCGGGGGAUAACGAGUGGAAACAUUCGCUAAUACCGCAUAACAAUAGAGAAGGCAUCUUCUUUAUUUAAAAGGCGCUUUCAAGCGUCACUAUCAGAUGGGCCCGCGGUGCAUUAGUUAGUUGGUGGGGUGAAGGCCUACCAAGACGAUGAUGCAUAGCCGAGUUGAGAGACGGAUCGGCCACAUUGGGACUGAGACACGGCCCAAACUCCUACGGGAGGCUGCAGUAGGGAAUCUUCCACAAUGGACGAAAGUCUGAUGGAGCAACGCCGCGUGUGUGAUGAAGGCUUUCGGGUCGUAAAGCACUGUUGUAUGGGAAGAAAUGCUAGGCUAGGAAAUGAGCUUAGUUUGGCGGUACCAUACCAGAAAGGGACGGCUAAAUACGUGCCAGCCGCCGCGGUAA